CGUCAAACAUACAACCAAGCAACCAAGCAGCAGGAAAUGAAAUGAAUAGUAAAUAGUAAAGAGUAUUUAAUAUUUAGCACCAACACACAAUAUAAUCACGUAGUUCAAAAUAAAUUCAAGAUGAACUAGAAAUUGAAAUGAAAAUGAAUCUGAACCAAGGAUGUAAAGAAUGUAAGUAAAGUAAAAGACGGUAGACAACAGACAGCAAAUAUCAGUCAUAAGAGAAAAAGUAAACAUAGAACGCUGAUAAUUAUUGUCAGAAGUAAAGGGCAAAGUAUAAAAUAUAACCAGAAACAGCGGAUUCUGUUGCAAAGUAGGCACACGCAUCACCACAAAUGAAGAAACAGGAUCACCAUAAAGAAAGAAAGGGUGACUGAAAGAAGAAUUACAGAUAAUAAGAACUGAACUGAGAGCUUAUAUGAUGUGCUCGAGCCAGCGAAGCUGAGAAUCCCUCCUGCGAGGCCAAGAUAGCCAAGAUAACCAAGAUGUACUUAGAGGACGAGCAACAUAAAAUUGAGCAGACCAAUCAGUGGCGCUAACGCCAAACUUCGUAUACAAUACAUAAUAUAUUCCUAUUACAUCGAUUAAUGAGAAAGGUAUCACAUCUUCAAAGAAGGGGAAGAUCGGCUGGAAAUAAAAGCAGAAAGAAGAAAUAGAUGGAACAUUCCACAGAACCACGACCUCACACUCGAUUAAUAAGCAAAGAUGGUGGAGAAACAAAAUGAUCAGAUGGAGGCAAUGAACAAUAAAUAGGGGACUUAUAGCAGUCGGCAGGCCAAGAGACAAUAAAAUAAAGCAACGACAGGUGUGACACAAAUUAAAAUAAUCAAGUAAGAGUAGACAGUAAUUACAAGAAUAGAAAUGUAAAGAGAAGAAUGAAGGAAGAACAAGAAGAAAACAAGAAAGAAAAGAAAGAUCAGUCUCGAAUGACAAUGAAAUCAAGAUAAAGUAUAAAUGAAAUAAAAUCAUUGAAGUGUAUAAAUACUGAAAUCAUUAACAGGAACCGUAUACUCUCACGACCACUAUCAUUCCUUAAAGGAACAGAAGAACAAACAGAGCAUUGUAGCAGCCCAGAAGAAAAUUAGUCAGAAAACGACUCAAAUCAGA
Osmia bicornis bicornis is the source of this 1107-nucleotide long non-coding RNA. RefSeq lists it as uncharacterized. The record is from RefSeq and is a predicted model, not a curated record. Lineage: Eukaryota; Metazoa; Arthropoda; Insecta; Hymenoptera; Megachilidae. The transcript is spliced from 4 exons.